This 3694-nucleotide long non-coding RNA is filed under the name Marmota monax (woodchuck). The record is from RNAcentral. Lineage: Eukaryota; Metazoa; Chordata; Mammalia; Rodentia; Sciuridae.
CCCGGGUGCUCCCCCCCCAGCUGCACCCCAGCCCUUUUUAUUUUUUUGUUUUGGGGCAGAGUCUCACUAAGUGGCUGAGGUCGGCCUCCAACCUGCCAUUCCCCUGCCUCAGAGGCCUCCCGGGGAACCCAGGCAGGAAGCCGGCGCGUGGAGUCCAGAUGCUGCCCGAGGGGCUGGGGGAGGCCCCAGGCCGGGGAACCAGCCCUCCCUCGGCAGGUCACGUUGGGAGCCCUGGUGAGCCGGUGUGGCAGGGCAGGGGAGGGCACUGGCAAUCUGCCCGAGGCGGCAUGACUUGUCUCCUUCCCUGUGGGAGCCACGGCACCAUCGUCAUUACCAUUGUUGACAUGAGAGUCUCAAAUCCAACGCUCACAUUCUACAGGGGACGGGGGAAGGUCAAGCAACCUCUUCAAGGCCACACAGCAGCAGCCCAAGCCCAGGCUUGCUGGCCCAGGGCCACCACGCUGGGGGAUCCCCUGCGGGCGACACGCCGAGCAGCAGGGAGAGGGGCUGCCCGACCUCCAGCCCAGGAGCGCGAGCAGAGGCCACUGCUGGCUCCUCCAGUCAGCCCGGGCAGUGUCCAGCGCUUCCUCUGUGUCUCCUGGAAGGAAACUGGCUUCUCAGGUGACCCUGUGGCCAGAGGUGGCACAGCAGGGCCAGGCCCAGCCUGAUCUGGGAGCCAGGGCUCCUCCCUGCCCUGGGCCACCUCCUCGUCAGCAGGCCCCUGACCGGGAGGCCCUGAGGUUUCCCGGCCACCCCGGCUUUGUGGAUCUGCGCCUUUCCACGCCAGGAACCACCCGGAAAAGCGGGUUAGGCCAGGAGCGGAGCCUGGCGCCGCGGAGGGGCUCAGAUGUGGUGUGUGGCAGGGCCCUUGCCAAUGUGCUACCGCGGCGAGGUGACAGCUCCUGGGCCCGGAGUCACUCAGAGCAGUCACCGCAGGAGGGGGCGGCCCAGUUCUCGGCCUGGCGUGCGGCCAGCUGCUCCGGCUCCCACCUCGCUGCCCUUGGGGCUGCUCUGGCCUGGCCAGCCGGGCUCCCCCGCCCCAGAGUCAAUAUUGACACGCGGCCGCCUGCCACCCAGGAGGGCCGAGGGCGCUGGCACCGAGAAGCACACAGCUCCCGGGUUUCGGCUCAAUUGCUGCGAGGAGAGAUGAGAAAUUGCCUUCCUGACCCAAAGCUGGAGUUCACAGCUGCACUUCAUUAGGAUUUCUCCAGGAGGCCCUGGGAGGCCGGCCGGGCUCACCUGUUAACAGCAGCUGCGCGCAUGAGCGGCGGCUUCCUGCCGGGGGCGGCACAGGCCGGCUGCCAGCCUCACCCAGCCCCCUCGCCGCCCUCUGCCAGUCUGCAUUAACUCAGCCAUGGAGGGAGAAGAGGAAGCAGCCACAGGACUGGGCUGGCUGUCCCUGGAACAUUCCAGAAGGUGAGGGGCAGGUCUCCUUCUGGGGUCCACCUCAUCUCUCUGGGUCAGGUGCCUGCAGCAUCUCUGGGUACACAGCAAGUGCUCCAUAAACGCUCCCUCCCGUUGUCCCUCGCAGCUGCCUCUUGCGCCACUGAAACGCGCCCAAUCCACGCCGUCAUUUUAAAAACACGGGACCGUGCCACAGGGUUCUCCCCGGGCUGCGCGGUCAUGUCUUCUGAAUGGAGGGCUUUUGGAAAGGUCUGGAAGGCGGCUGAAUCCCAGAAUCCUUGAGGUGGGGCCCAGCACCCUCCCAAAGCUCCUGAGGCCAGCACAGCAGGGUGCCACUCAGCUGGGGUGUCAUCUGCCCUGGAAGUCUGCAUGUUCUUUCCCAGGAGAGUCCGGGCAGGUGGCCAGCAGAGGGGGAGGGGGCCGGACACCAGACUGCCUGGCCCUGCCCCCAGGCUUGCUCCCCCUCCACGCUAAGUUUGAGUCAUGGCCCCUAAUGUGAGUCCCAGCACAGGUCCCACGUGUGCCACGGUGCCCCGAGUCCACCCUGGAGGACGAAGCAGAUCAGGCUGCUGUGUGAACACAGAAGCUGUGUGGCCCUGGGCAAGUCACUUGGGCUCUCUGGGCCUUGGCUGACAAGCUCUUCCUGCUCGGGUGGAAGCAGGGUUUGGGCUCAGUGUCUGUGGCUGGAGACAGGGUUCUGGAGGAGCCGGGCCUGCAGGGCCUCAGCUGCCUCAGCUGGGACUUGGGAAUGCACCCACCUGCUGUGAGGGCAGCUGUGAGGGCAAGGCGAGGUCCCCAGGGAGAGUGAGGGGACGGCUCGCAGCACCAGCACCAAAAGCGCCAUCCCGGGUCUUCUGCCCUCAGGACACACCCUGUGGUCUGCUUCCAGCAGCCCGUGUCCAAGGGAAGAAAGCUGAGGACCGAGGGGUCACUUGCCAAGGUCAGGUGUGAGCCCGGAACUGUGGAGCCCAGUUCUUGGCCCACCCAGGCUCAUGGGGCGUCCUCCAUGGCUGAGGGGACCUCGGGAUGGCCAGAGCCGAGGGGCUCCCCAGAAGGAGCCCAGGCCACGAGGGCUGGAGGGAGUCUCCCAUGAGGUCCAGGGACAGAGCAGGCCAGGAGGGCCCUGGUGCGGGGCCCAGGAGGCCGUGGGAGGGCGCCGGUGGGAGAAGGCCUGGGGCGUCCACGGGUCCAGGCUGGGUCAGGGCCGGCUCCGGAGCUGGAGCAGUGGAGCCCCUGACGUGGUGGACCGAGGGGCAGGUGAGGGAAUCCCUGUCUGAGCAGGGGGAGAGGUCACCUGGGGACAGCAGAGGCGGGAGCGAGAGGCAGGUGUGGGCGCCUGGGGACGCAGAUGAGGACGCCCAGGCUCAGGGAGAUGGGCGACUGUGGCAGCUCACGGGGCCCUCCAUGGCCCCUGUCCCCAGGCCCAGCUCGGAGCCGGCCUCACCGCGACCCGAGCCAACAGGCGCUGGCCCAGCCCCUGGAACGCGUCCCCUCCUCAGGCCUCGACAGCUGGGCCGUGAGCGCUGGCCGAUCCCCACUUCACAGACGGGAAACUGAGGCCCCAAGCAGAUUAGCCACUGCCCGGGGUCUCGGGGGCGGUCAAGGCAGACCCAGGAGGCCACCAGAGCCCUGGUCUUCACGGGGAGCAGAGGCCGAUCGGGGCCAGGCGUCUUGGCAAGCACAGGCCUCCAGCCACGGCACCUCCUCCCAGACGGGACCCCACCCAGUCCCAACCCGCUGGCAGGCAGGGCCCCGAGGCUCCCUGGGCAGGGUGAAGCCCACAGGAGGAAUGGCAGCUCUGAUCCGGCAGCUGAUAUUUACAUACCGUCUGCGCACCAGGCACUGUUCCAAACAGCCCCUACCCAGGAACCCCGAGCCUGUCAGGUAAACACCGUUGGUUGUCCACUUCACAGAUGGGAUGCCCGUGGCACAGAGAGGUCAGGAGACCUGUCUGAGGACACACAGCCUUUGGGUGUCAGCCCUGGGAUCUGAACCCAUCAGCCUGGCCCCAGAGAGCUGUGGGGUUGGCCCCCAGCAGAAACCUGGAGGGGCGGUGUAGGUGCGGGGGGCCAGUCAGGAGCAGGCCAGUCGCCGGACGUGGAGGGGGGCUGGGGAAGCUCUCCCUCCUGCCGGGAGAGGGCCGCUGCUGCUGGCACACUCCCUGAGAGGCCAGGCCUUGCAAGGGAAGCAGAAAUCUGUCGUUAACACCGUGCCAAACCCAAAGUGGCUGCUCCCGGACUGCAAUCCAAUAAAAGUGCGACUUGUCUAUUUAUCAUCCUCGGGGCGUUUA